RNAcentral lists this ribosomal RNA (468 nucleotides) under uncultured bacterium. RNAcentral's name for it is "partial 16S ribosomal RNA". It matches the Rfam family "Bacterial small subunit ribosomal RNA", at positions 28 to 507 of the family's 1533-position model. The record is from RNAcentral.
GACGAACGCUGGCGGCGUGCUUAACACAUGCAAGUCGAACGGUGAAGCUCCAGCUUGCUGGAGUGGAUCAGUGGCGAACGGGUAAGUAACACGUGAGCAACCUGCCCCUGACUCUGGAAUAAGCGCUGGAAACGGCGUCUAAUACUGGAUACGAGAAGGGUCCGCAUGGGCACUUUCUGGAAAGUUUUUCGGUUGGGGAUGGGCUCGCGGCCUAUCAGCUUGUUGGUGAGGUAAUGGCUCACCAAGGCGACGACGGGUAGCCGGCCUGAGAGGGCGACCGGCCACACUGGGACUGAGACACGGCCCAGACUCCUACGGGAGGCAGCAGUGGGGAAUAUUGCACAAUGGGCGAAAGCCUGAUGCAGCGACGCCGCGUGAGGGAUGACGGCCUUCGGGUUGUAAACCUCUUUCAGCAGGGAAGAAGCGAAAGUGACGGUACCUGCAGAAGAAGCACCGGCUAACUACGUG